CUUUAGGACUAGUUUUUAAAAUGCCUCAAGAAACUUACUUGUAACAUGGAGUCACCUGACAUAGAUUAACCACAUAGGUUAAAAUGAAAUAAUGGAUUAAAAAAUAUGUAUUAGAAGAAUCAGCUAACAAAACUUUUUUUUAACCAUUUCACUCUUCUGUACAAUAUGAGCAUGAAUAAGCCAGAUAGUAUUAAGUUUAGCAUAUUUAUAGCAACCCUAAAUUCUUUUUUGCAGAUGAUUCCUACGGAAGACAGAAGUCUUUAUAACUGCACAUAACUCUAUUUGCUCAAUAUAUAACAUGCUGUCAAAAAAAAGUAAGCAGGGAACAAUUCCACAGUAUAUUAAAAUUAAUCAAAUAUGAAAUGUCUUACAAAUUACAUUAUUAUUACCUUCCAAGUAUAGAUGACAUUAACAAUGCAGAGCUGUUACUUCAUCAAGAUUUGCUUUUGUUCCCAGAAAUGAUUCCACAUCAAAAAAACCAAAUGUGAAUAAAAUCUAUAGGAUAGCAUAAAGUAUCAUAAAGACAUGCAUGAUCAGAAAGAGAGGUAGCCUGGUUUAAUAUUGUGAAUAAAACAAAACAGAUAGCCCAAGUCUACAUUAGUUCUCCCAAGCACCAAUAUUAAAAGAACUAGAGGAAUACAGCUAUACCAUUAUCGGGUGGCUUCUCUGAAAGAUUUAUGGAAUGACAUCAACAAUUGCAUAGGAUGAGAAAAACAUGCAAGUCAAGUGAUAUAUCCUAGUGGAGCAAAUUAUUCAACUCAAUGAAUCAUAAAUCCAUCCAAAUGUCAAGAAAACUGUUUAAGAAAAAAAAAGUCUUAAUAUUUUUCCUGUCCCCCCCCAGUGAAGAAAAAAAAUCUUAAUUUUCAAUAUUUCAAAUCUUUAUCCAUAAACAGGACCCCAAACUUAAAACUACCAGUAGACAACAAAUCACAUCUUAAGACAUUUUCUUCCCUAACACAGAUUCACUUUAGCACAGGGGCUACCAAAAAGCAACAGCAAAAUGAGUUCAAAGAAAUUUGCAACAUAAAUGUCAGUUGACAGGCACCAACAAGUUUCUGUAUCCAAGCUGAAAAAUUAUAACAUAGUUACAGAAUUUCAAUUUUUUCACAUGGUCAAAUAGUUGGAUAAUACUGUUAUAAAAUACAACAAAAGCACCCUAGUGUUUCUUCAAGAAGUGCAUCAUUUUAUAUAAUUUUUCUUUAACUGUGGAUUCUUUAAAUGAGAAAGAUUUUCUUCUUAAUUUUUUCCUCAAUCCUUCUUUAGUCGUUUGGCUUUUGCAAUAUUUUCUUGACGUCUCUGUUUCUUCUUCUGCUCCUUUUCCCUGGCCUCAAUCAUUUUUGCCAGUUUCCAAGACAGUACUGCACUUGCUAGAAAAAGUGGAGUCAGAGCCAAAAUCACUGUGGUAAGAAAGCCAUAUGGAUCCUUUGCAGCCCACUCCACAACAUACUCAGCCCAAGCUUUUACAUCAAUC
This 1471-nucleotide long non-coding RNA is filed under the name Sarcophilus harrisii (Tasmanian devil). RNAcentral's name for it is "lncRNA (ENSSHAG00000028435.1)". The record is from RNAcentral. Lineage: Eukaryota; Metazoa; Chordata; Mammalia; Dasyuromorphia; Dasyuridae.